AUCCUCACCCUUUUCUCUGCUAGAGAUCAGAGGCCUUGCAGGAAGCCUUGAGUGUCUUUCCUUGCUCAGUUUCCCAAUCUCUGCCCCUGCCUAGAAAUGGGCACUCCUUUUCCCUGAAAUGCCUUACUGGGCAGGGACCCUAACAAAAA
This 149-nucleotide long non-coding RNA is filed under the name Nannospalax galili (Upper Galilee mountains blind mole rat). RNAcentral describes it as "Smith-Magenis syndrome chromosome region, candidate 2 conserved region 1 (ENSNGAG00000005440.1)". It matches the Rfam family "Smith-Magenis syndrome chromosome region, candidate 2 conserved region 1". The record is from RNAcentral. Lineage: Eukaryota; Metazoa; Chordata; Mammalia; Rodentia; Spalacidae.